RNAcentral lists this ribosomal RNA (565 nucleotides) under Sarocladium oryzae. Its description in RNAcentral is "partial 28S ribosomal RNA". It matches the Rfam family "Eukaryotic large subunit ribosomal RNA", at positions 76 to 668 of the family's 3401-position model. Lineage: Eukaryota; Fungi; Ascomycota; Sordariomycetes; Hypocreales; Sarocladiaceae. The record is from RNAcentral.
UGCCUCAGUACGGCGAGUGAAGCGGCAACAGCUCAAAUUUGAAAUCUGGCCGCAAGGUCCGAGUUGUAAUUUGCAGAGGAUGCUUUUGGCGAGGUGCCUUCCGAGUUCCCUGGAACGGGACGCCAUAGAGGGUGAGAGCCCCGUACGGUUGGACCACCGAGCCUCUGUAAAGCUCCUUCGACGAGUCGAGUAGUUUGGGAAUGCUGCUCUAAAUGGGAGGUGUACGUCUUCUAAAGCUAAAUACCGGCCAGAGACCGAUAGCGCACAAGUAGAGUGAUCGAAAGAUGAAAAGCACUUUGAAAAGAGGGUUAAAAAGUACGUGAAAUUGUUGAAAGGGAAGCGUUUAUGACCAGACUUGGGCUUGGUUGAACAUCCGGCGUUCUCGCCGGUGCACUCUGCCAGUCCAGGCCAGCAUCAGUUUGUCCCGGGGGAUAAAGGCGGUGGGAAUGUGGCUCCCCCGGGAGUGUUAUAGCCCGCCGUGCAAUGCCCUGGGACGGACUGAGGAACGCGCUUCGGCACGGAUGCUGGCGUAAUGGUCAUCAACGACCCGUCUUGAAACGGACCA